RNAcentral lists this long non-coding RNA (304 nucleotides) under Homo sapiens (human). RNAcentral describes it as "HSALNT0214379". The record is from RNAcentral. Lineage: Eukaryota; Metazoa; Chordata; Mammalia; Primates; Hominidae.
CAAAGGUAUUGCAUAGCCUGUACACGUCCUGAACAAGUUGAGCAUUGAAGAUGGUUUCCAAUAUCCAGAUGGACAGGCUGACCAUGAGUGCAAAUCUUCUUGUCCUUAGGAAAAAAAACUUCAAAGGGUAGACAACAGCCAAAUACCGAUCAACGGCAAUGCAGGAAAGACACACACAGAGAUCCAAUAUUGGCUGGAAUGCUGACUAUAAUCACAAAGAUGUAAACAAUGGGAAACAAAUAGUGAUCCAGGUCAUGCUGUUCUUCAAUACAUGUGCUGUUCAUUUUUUCCUUUUUAAGGUAGC